This 73-nucleotide transfer RNA is filed under the name Apaloderma vittatum (bar-tailed trogon). It matches the Rfam family "tRNA". Rfam says of the family: Transfer RNA (tRNA) molecules are approximately 80 nucleotides in length. The record is from Rfam by way of RNAcentral. Lineage: Eukaryota; Metazoa; Chordata; Aves; Trogoniformes; Trogonidae.
GGCAGGUUAGCUCAGUCGGUUAGAGUGAGGUGCUGAUAACGCCAAGGUCGCGGGUUCGAUUCCCAUUCGGUCC